GAUGAACGCUGGCGGCGUGCCUAAUACAUGCAAGUCGAGCGAACAGACGAGGAGCUUGCUCCUUUGACGUUAGCGGCGGACGGGUGAGUAACACGUAGGUAACCUACCUAUAAGACUGGGAUAACUUCGGGAAACCGGAGCUAAUACCGGAUAAUAUUUCGAACCGCAUGGUUCGAUAGUGAAAGAUGGCUUUGCUAUCACUUAUAGAUGGACCUGCGCCGUAUUAGCUAGUUGGUAAGGUAACGGCUUACCAAGGCAACGAUACGUAGCCGACCUGAGAGGGUGAUCGGCCACACUGGAACUGAGACACGGUCCAGACUCCUACGGGAGGCAGCAGUAGGGAAUCUUCCGCAAUGGGCGAAAGCCUGACGGAGCAACGCCGCGUGAGUGAUGAAGGUCUGCGGAUCGUAAAACUCUGUUAUUAGGGAAGAACAAACGUGUAAGUAACUGUGCACGUCUUGACGGUACCUAAUCAGAAAGCCACGGCUAACUACGUG
This 497-nucleotide ribosomal RNA is filed under the name uncultured bacterium. RNAcentral describes it as "partial 16S ribosomal RNA". It matches the Rfam family "Bacterial small subunit ribosomal RNA", at positions 28 to 507 of the family's 1533-position model. The record is from RNAcentral.